CAGAGUUGCAAAACUCCCAAACCAUUGUGGACGAGCCUGACAGGUGCUUCGGCAGGUCCAGGGCUGGCUGUGAAAACGCCGGCCCACGCCUGACGAAGUCAUCGAAACUCUUAUUAUUGGCAUCUCUGAGUAACUUUUAAAUAAGUCA
Molecule: unclassified non-coding RNA, 148 nt
Filed under: uncultured Sordariomycetes
Lineage: Eukaryota; Fungi; Ascomycota; Sordariomycetes
Description: sequence contains ITS1
Source: RNAcentral